CACACAUCGUCAGCAUUCACCACUCAGCCUAACGCUCGCUCUUCCUCUCUCUUCCUCUCUCUCUCUCUCUCUCUCUCUCCAUCAGUAUGAGGAGGCUGCCCCAGCAACUUCUCUGUCUCUGCCUGACCGGGGCAUUGCUGCUGCGUUUGUGCAAGGGCAACGAUGUUGAAUACGAUUAUGACUAUGACUAUAACACAACUGCAGCGCCAGACUACGACUACAAUGCUACCUUUGACUACAUGUAUUUCAGUAAUUCCAGCAGUAUGGAUUAUGGAGUAUUUGAAAUUAUAAGAUCCAGAGUAAAAGAUACACAGGAAGUUGAUAAAGGAAAUACGGCUCCAGAGACUGGCCUCCCAAACCUUCUGCUAAUUGUGACUUUGUCCAUACACCAGCUCUACCAACUGCACUGAAGGGGACUACGUACUGCUGCAUAUUGCACAAAGACAUUCGUGGCCCUGAGCAAUGCAGGAAGUAUGGAUGGUCGGAGGAGCCUGGAUGAGCCAUCUUUCAGAACAAAGGGACAUUUCAUGUGCAUAGGCAAACACUUCACAGCUGGGAAAUCAAUAGCACCAUCAACACACCCAAAAGUAUUCCAGGCCCCAUCCCGGGCCAGAGCUUCACAGCUUGUGACCCCUCAUACAUGACAAACAACUGUCUGCUUCACAGCAGGAACUCACACUGCAGUCAGAGAGGCUGUUUUCUGUCACAAUGUAGGGAAACAUCUUGAUUCGGUCUACAAAACCAUCUACUUAGGUUAAUUUAUUUAGUUGGUUAUACAAUUCAAGUAAGUGUCCAUGUGUCUUCUCUUCCUUUCCUGGUCAGAGGUCUUCCAGGCCACAUGUCUGUGGGCUCCAGACCUGAUGCACGCUGCUGUUUAUGGGGUGAAACACAGGCACAUCAAGGCAUGAUUCGCUGAUUUUCAGGAUCAUCUGUAUUAUCUUACCAGGGACUGCUCGCUUCUGGGAUGCACUCUCUCUCUAUGCUGCAUUUUUUUAUAUAUGUCUCACAAUGUAUUAACAAAACGUCAGGAAAGGAAACAUCACUAGAACAGGCGAUGGCACAGUUCCCUCACACUGUUUUUAUUAAAUCGCCUCAUUAACAAAUGUAUAUACAGUAAGUACAGUUCUUGAUUUGGCUUUGUACUCCACAAUUUUAGAUUUGUAAUGAAACAAUUCACAUGUGGAGUGAAGAUUCUCAGCUUUUAUUAAAGCGUAUUUCUAUACAUUUUAGUUUCACCAUGUAGAUAUUACAGCCCUUUUUAAAUAGUCCCCCCACUUCAGAGGACCAUAAUGUUUGGGACAAAUGGACAGUAGUCACUGACACAUCCAUGGCUGUCGCUUGUUUCUGAUCUGUCAGACAGGUGUUUGGGGUUUUUUUCUUCAUUAUGCUCAAAAUUCUUUUGCAAAAAACAGACCCCAAAGCUAAUCAGAAGACUAGAAUCAAGACUACAUAUUGAAAACAUUCUUAAACCUGCACAAAGGAAGCAAUUGCACACACCUAAAUAAUCAGAAACACCCGCAAAGCGGUUUUUCCCAAACAUUAUGGUUCUGAAAUGGGGGGAUGACUGCAUAUAGAAAGUGCAAUAAUUUCUAUAUGGUGAAACCAAAAUGUACAAUAUAAAAUGUGAGAAUCUGAACUUUCACCACAUGUGAAUAGAGCCAAAUCAGAAAAAAAUAUGUCCAAAACAUUACAAAGCUCACUGUAUCCAUGGUUCUUCACUUUGGGAGAGGAGAAUAUCAUUUAUAUGUGUUGUUUAUAUUCUUUAAUAAAUAUUUUUCAAUAAA
Molecule: long non-coding RNA, 1784 nt
Organism: Anguilla anguilla (European eel)
Lineage: Eukaryota; Metazoa; Chordata; Actinopteri; Anguilliformes; Anguillidae
Exons: 5
Source: RefSeq, a predicted model, not a curated record